This 1256-nucleotide ribosomal RNA is filed under the name uncultured Acinetobacter sp. RNAcentral's name for it is "bacterial SSU rRNA". It matches the Rfam family "Bacterial small subunit ribosomal RNA", at positions 77 to 1328 of the family's 1533-position model. Lineage: Bacteria; Pseudomonadati; Pseudomonadota; Gammaproteobacteria; Moraxellales; Moraxellaceae. The record is from RNAcentral.
AGCUUGCUACCUGACCUAGCGGCGGACGGGUGCGUAAUGCUUAGGAAUCUGCCUAUUAGUGGGGGACAACAUUCCGAAAGGAAUGCUAAUACCGCAUACGCCCUACGGGGGAAAGCAGGGGAUCUUCGGGCCUUGCGCUAAUAGAUGAGCCUAAGUCAGAUUAGCUAGUUGGUGGGGUAAAGGCCUACCAAGGCGACGAUCUGUAGCGGGUCUGAGAGGAUGAUCCGCCACACUGGGACUGAGACACGGCCCAGACUCCUACGGGAGGCAGCAGUGGGGAAUAUUGGACAAUGGGCGAAAGCCUGAUCCAGCCAUGCCGCGUGUGUGAAGAAGGCCUUUUGGUUGUAAAGCACUUUAAGCGAGGAGGAGGCUACUGAGAUUAAUACUCUUGGAUAGUGGACGUUACUCGCAGAAUAAGCACCGGCUAACUCUGUGCCAGCAGCCGCGGUAAUACAGAGGGUGCGAGCGUUAAUCGGAUUUACUGGGCGUAAAGCGUGCGUAGGCGGCUUUUUAAGUCGGAUGUGAAAUCCCUGAGCUUAACUUAGGAAUUGCAUUCGAUACUGGGAAGCUAGAGUAUGGGAGAGGAUGGUAGAAUUCCAGGUGUAGCGGUGAAAUGCGUAGAGAUCUGGAGGAAUACCGAUGGCGAAGGCAGCCAUCUGGCCUAAUACUGACGCUGAGGUACGAAAGCAUGGGGAGCAAACAGGAUUAGAUACCCUGGUAGUCCAUGCCGUAAACGAUGUCUACUAGCCGUUGGGGCCUUUGAGGCUUUAGUGGCGCAGCUAACGCGAUAAGUAGACCGCCUGGGGAGUACGGUCGCAAGACUAAAACUCAAAUGAAUUGACGGGGGCCCGCACAAGCGGUGGAGCAUGUGGUUUAAUUCGAUGCAACGCGAAGAACCUUACCUGGUCUUGACAUAGUAAGAACUUUCCAGAGAUGGAUUGGUGCCUUCGGGAACUUACAUACAGGUGCUGCAUGGCUGUCGUCAGCUCGUGUCGUGAGAUGUUGGGUUAAGUCCCGCAACGAGCGCAACCCUUUUCCUUAUUUGCCAGCGGGUUAAGCCGGGAACUUUAAGGAUACUGCCAGUGACAAACUGGAGGAAGGCGGGGACGACGUCAAGUCAUCAUGGCCCUUACGACCAGGGCUACACACGUGCUACAAUGGUCGGUACAAAGGGUUGCUACCUAGCGAUAGGAUGCUAAUCUCAAAAAGCCGAUCGUAGUCCGGAUUGGAGUCUGCAACUCGACUCCAUGAAGUCG